GACGGACCACACAAACGUUAUUCGGAAUUACUGGGCUUAAAGGGUGCGUAGGCUGUGCAGUAAGUUGGGUGUGAAAUCCCUCGGCUCAACCGAGGAAUUGCGCCCAAAACUACUGUGCUCGAGGAAGACAGAGGUAAGCGGAACUUAGGGUGGAGCGGUGAAAUGCGUUGAUAUCCUAAGGAACACCGGUGGCGAAAGCGGCUUACUGGGUCUUUUCUGACGCUGAGGCACGAAAGCUAGGGUAGCGAACGGG
RNAcentral lists this ribosomal RNA (253 nucleotides) under uncultured bacterium. Its description in RNAcentral is "partial 16S ribosomal RNA". It matches the Rfam family "Bacterial small subunit ribosomal RNA", at positions 524 to 776 of the family's 1533-position model. The record is from RNAcentral.